This 454-nucleotide ribosomal RNA is filed under the name uncultured bacterium. Its description in RNAcentral is "partial 16S ribosomal RNA". It matches the Rfam family "Bacterial small subunit ribosomal RNA", at positions 28 to 507 of the family's 1533-position model. The record is from RNAcentral.
GAUGAACGCUGACAGAAUGCUUAACACAUGCAAGUCAACUUGAACUUCGGUUUGGGUGGCGGACGGGUGAGUAACGCGUAAAGAACUUGCCUCACAGCUAGGGACAACAUUUGGAAACGAAUGCUAAUACCUGAUAUUAUGAUUUUAGGGCAUCCUAGAAUUAUGAAAGCUAUAUGCGCUGUGAGAGAGCUUUGCGUCCCAUUAGCUAGUUGGAGAGGUAACGGCUCACCAAGGCGAUGAUGGGUAGCCGGCCUGAGAGGGUGAACGGCCACAAGGGGACUGAGACACGGCCCUUACUCCUACGGGAGGCAGCAGUGGGGAAUAUUGGACAAUGGACCAAGAGUCUGAUCCAGCAAUUCUGUGUGCACGAUGAAGUUUUUCGGAAUGUAAAGUGCUUUCAGUUGGGAAGAAAAAAAUGACGGUACCAACAGAAGAAGAGACGGCUAAAUACGUG